Molecule: transfer RNA, 86 nt
Filed under: Musa acuminata subsp. malaccensis (wild Malaysian banana)
Lineage: Eukaryota; Viridiplantae; Streptophyta; Magnoliopsida; Zingiberales; Musaceae
Rfam family: tRNA
About the family: Transfer RNA (tRNA) molecules are approximately 80 nucleotides in length.
Source: Rfam by way of RNAcentral
CCGACCUUAGCUCAGUUGGUAGAGCGGAGGACUGUAGUGGUCACAGAUAAAUCCUUAGGUCGCUGGUUCGAAUCCGGCAGGUCGGA